GUGCUCACUUCAGCCACACGUACAGUAAAAAUUGGAACAAUACAGAGAUUAGCAUGGCCCCUGUGCAAGGAUGACAUGCAAAUUCAUGAAACGUUCCAUAUUUUU
This is a small nuclear RNA of Otolemur garnettii (small-eared galago), 105 nucleotides long. The record is from Ensembl. Lineage: Eukaryota; Metazoa; Chordata; Mammalia; Primates; Galagidae.